GCGGAGGGAUCAUUACUGAGUGAGGGCCUCCGGGCUCGACCUCCAACCCUUUGUGAACACAACUCGUUGCUUCGGGGGCGACCCUGCCGUUUUCACGGCGAGCGCCUCCGGAGGCCUUCAAACACUGCAUCUUUGCGUCGGAGUUUAAGUAAAUUAAACAAAACUUUCAACAACGGAUCUCUUGGUUCUGGCAUCGAUGAAGAACGCAGCGAAAUGCGAUAAGUAAUGUGAAUUGCAGAAUUCAGUGAAUCAUCGAAUCUUUGAACGCACAUUGCGCCCUCUGGUAUUCCGGAGGGCAUGCCUGUUCGAGCGUCAUUUCACCACUCAAGCCUGGCUUGGUAUUGGGUGCCGCGGUUUUCCGCGCGCCUUGAAGUCUCCGGCUGAGCUGUCCGUCUCCAAGCGUUGUGAUUUCAUUAAUCGCUUCGGGGUGCGGGCGGCCGCGGCCGUUAAAUCUUUCACAAGGUUGACCUCGGAUCAGGUAGGGAUACCCGCUG
RNAcentral lists this ribosomal RNA (494 nucleotides) under Sphaerulina tirolensis. Its description in RNAcentral is "eukaryotic LSU rRNA". The stretch from base 162 to 315 matches the Rfam family "5.8S ribosomal RNA". The record is from RNAcentral. Lineage: Eukaryota; Fungi; Ascomycota; Dothideomycetes; Mycosphaerellales; Mycosphaerellaceae.